This 255-nucleotide ribosomal RNA is filed under the name uncultured bacterium. RNAcentral's name for it is "partial 16S ribosomal RNA". It matches the Rfam family "Bacterial small subunit ribosomal RNA", at positions 179 to 436 of the family's 1533-position model. The record is from RNAcentral.
GGCACUGAGACAUCUCAGAGCCGCCAAAGAUUUAUCGGCAAGGGAUGGGCCUGCGUCUGAUUAGUUAGUUGGUGGGGUAACGGCCUACCAAGGCGACGAUCAGUAGCCGACCUGAGAGGGUGAUCGGCCACAUUGGAACUGAGACACGGUCCAAACUCCUACGGGAGGCAGCAGUGGAGAAUCUUGCACAAUGGGCGAAAGCCUGAUGCAGCAACGCCGCGUGAAUAAAGGAGGCCCUUGGGUCGUAAAUUCUGU